This 732-nucleotide long non-coding RNA is filed under the name Parus major (Great Tit). RNAcentral's name for it is "lncRNA (ENSPMJG00000000522.1)". The record is from RNAcentral. Lineage: Eukaryota; Metazoa; Chordata; Aves; Passeriformes; Paridae.
CUUAGGAUGUUUUCGUUUCUAUUUAAGUAUUUACAAGUAAAUAAGCUAUUUUAUUCAGCCAUCAAAAAAUACUGUAACUAAAAUACGUUGCUGCUGCUGUAUGGUAGCUGGAUCAUUAAUUUAAUAUAAUGGCUUCAUUUUAGAGACAGGCUUUUUAUCAGCAAGCCUAGUCAAUCCAAUAGUAAAGGUCACAACUCAUCUGUUUUUGUUUUAUUGCUUCACCAUUUGCCAGCUUACAGAACUACAUGGAAAGCUAAAUCUGUUCAAGAGAAGACUCUCAUGAGAGAAAAAGAAGCUACAAUGUGGGGGAUACUUGUUCCUCCACCACGUGUUUCCAGCAGUUUAUGGAUGACAUAUAAGCAGUGCUCAGGAAUCCCUGCCAAGCUCUGUACACCUGGCAAGUAUGAAAAGAGCCCAGAAGGUAUCUUUGGUGAGUAAUGCAGCAUCUCAAAAGCCUACUAAAACUCUGGUUGGUUAAAGACACGUUAAGAUACUUGGAUAAAAGGAGGCAGAGCCCUGAACAGGCAUAUGGAUGAGAAGAGCCGGGUACUUUUCCAGCAGCUUUAUCCUGCAAAGAAAGGGUGAUGUGAUAGAGGUGCUCAUCUGCUGAAGCUGUGCAGGGACUGUAGGAGUCUGACAGUUCCCAGCCUCUGAAAAAAUUCUCAGCCCUAUGCCUUAGACACAUAAUGACUGUCCUUGCUGAACCAUUGAAGUACAGCUUUUCAGUCUUUC